CGGUGCCACCAGGGGAGGCCUGGACUAGGCUGAGGCAUGGACGGUGCCUGCUCAGGGCCCCUCGGCUCACCCACAUUUCAGGCCAGUGCUGGCCUGCGGGGCGAGUGCAGACGUGUGUCCCCCACAACCUCCCAAACGCCAGCCAGUGCCCCCUCUGGCUGCGUGCAGUUCUGCCAGCAGUGGACUGGGGUGGGAACCUGGUGCACCACCCACACACACACACACACACACACACACGCAUGCACGGUCAGCCACGAUGACCACCACACCACAGGUGCUUCCUAGCUCGCACAGCGCCUGCACCACAGGGAAUGGAGUCAAUAUUCCUGCAUGGGGUUUGGAGGGCCAGGGUCAGUGAAUCCAGACCCAGACACUGCAGAGGAAGAUCUAAGGGAGCCCCCUGCCCCGGGAAGUGGCAAGAGCUGAAUCUGGGACCCGGAUGAAUUCUGAGUCCAGCCUGAGCACCUCCUGCCCUUGUGUCACUCUGACCCCCAAGGAGGCCAAGAGCAGGGCGGGGAGGACUUGGCACCCCCAGGGUCGGCUGAGUGAGGAGUGGGCAUUGGAAGGAGCAGACCCCCCUGGAAGAAGGAACACAGUGGAAACAGAACCGCGUUCUCAAACCCCAGCCAGGACGGAGACCUGGGCCCGCUCAGUUGGGAACGGCGACCAGGGCAGGGCUCUGCAAACGCAUCACAAGGCUUUCUCUGUGACGCGAUCCAGAGGGUUAAAAAAGAGAAUGCGCCUCCCCUGCCCUGCCUCGCACGCUGGGUCCUGCACCCUGGUUACCCUCGAGGCUCCUUCUCCCCGCGACACAUUAGAAUCAGUCCUCAAGGGCCCUCGGCUCUGGGCAGAGCAGGUGCCAGGAGGAAGUGUGGGGGAGGGAGCCGCCGAUGACUUGGGCCCACCAAGCCCUGUGUGCUUUUGUCAAGGGCGACUUUACCCUUCGCACCCCAUCUGUCGGUCCACAGAGCCAGGGCUGAGCCUCUCACUUCUCACUGACUUUGGCUCCUGGCUCCAGCCCUUCGUGCUGGAAUAUUCUAGAACAAAGUUCAGGCUUCACUUGGGGCUCUCUGGCAAUCCACAGCUUCGCUGUGAAUGGCUCUGUCAUCCUGAACGCCCAGCGCCACCCCUGAGCCAUCGCUGUCCGUGCAGAAGUCAGAAUUCCACACGAGUGACUCCGUUUUGACAGGAAUCUAUUAGCCUCUGCCGGGGGCGGGGGGCAGUCAGCAUUUCAGCGCCCGGCAGAGAGCAGGCCCCGGGAAUGGCACGUGACCUCGGGCUGGGCCACUCUCCUCCGCUUCCCAUAGCAUCUCGGGUCUCCAGGAAGUCUCGAAGCUUCUGAGACGAGGACUUGCACCGUCUGCUGCUUUCUCUCUUUCUGUGGACUUCAGGGGACUCAGGAACGGGUGCUUGAUUGCAUUAAACAAAAAUAUGAGGCGGCUUCGCCAUGUUUGCACACCACAGUGGACAGCUGCCUGACCCCCCCUCUCUGGAAGACGGUCGCCCCUUUGCUUUUAACGUCUGUAGCAGACGCUUGGACAGUGCUGAGAUCUCCGUGUCCUGGAGCAACAUCUCAAAACAAGAUAACAGGGUGUCUGUCUGGGGAUAAUAAAAGCUUGAAAGAAGAAACGCUGCUGUUACAUUGGCAGUCACAGCUCCGUGAGCCUCAUCAUUUUAUCCCGUGAGUCUGGAGCGCGGCCCCAAAUCCCACCCUAAACCAGACGGGGCCGCGAGAUUCAUCUCCGCGGCUUCUGUUUGCCACGAGGAGUGAGGACGCGGCUGAGCGGUGACGGUGCCUCCUGUAUUACUGUGCGCACUCCUGCGUCCCGGGGAGGGGGGUGCCACGGCCUCGUCCAGCUUUCCCGGGUGCAGCCUGCAAACCAGUUCAUCUCUUCUGCAAACCGCUAUCCGGGCCUAACGACUUGGCCGGGCACAGCGGAAGUCCUGGCGUGGUGGCGUGGCCAUGGGCAGGCUGGGACAUCGUGCCUCUGCUGGAGACCAAGUGUGCUCAGAUUCGGAGAGGCCAUCAGCCACACCCAGUGGAUUCGGGUGCGGCCGAGACAAACGCACUUCUCUGUGCU
This is a non-coding RNA of Oryctolagus cuniculus (rabbit), 2081 nucleotides long. The record is from RefSeq and is a predicted model, not a curated record. Lineage: Eukaryota; Metazoa; Chordata; Mammalia; Lagomorpha; Leporidae.